UGGUUUCGGGGCAGGGUGAAAUUCCCUAUCGGCGGUGAAGUGUAAAUAUUAAUUCACGCAAAGUCCGCGAGCAGUAAAAUGCUGAUUUGGUGAAAUUCCAAAACCGACGGUUACAGUCCGGAUGAGAGAAA
RNAcentral lists this non-coding RNA (131 nucleotides) under pig gut metagenome. Its description in RNAcentral is "FMN riboswitch (RFN element)". It matches the Rfam family "FMN riboswitch aptamer (RFN element)". From Rfam's summary of the family: The RFN element is a highly conserved domain that is found frequently in the 5'-untranslated regions of prokaryotic mRNAs that encode for flavin mononucleotide (FMN) biosynthesis and transport proteins. This element is a metabolite-dependent riboswitch that directly binds FMN in the absence of proteins. In Bacillus subtilis, the riboswitch most likely controls gene expression by causing premature transcription termination within the 5' untranslated region of the ribDEAHT operon and precluding access to the ribosome-binding site of ypaA mRNA. The record is from RNAcentral.